Molecule: ribosomal RNA, 460 nt
Filed under: uncultured bacterium
Lineage: Bacteria
Description: partial 16S ribosomal RNA
Rfam family: Bacterial small subunit ribosomal RNA
Source: RNAcentral
CCUACGGGCGGCAGCAGUGAGGAAUAUUGGUCAAUGGACGAGAGUCUGAACCAGCCAAGUGGCGUGAAGGAUGACUGCCCUAUGGGUUGUAAACUUCUUUUAUAUGGGAAUAAAAUGUUCCACGUGUGGGUUUUUGUAUGUACCAUAUGAAUAAGGAUCGGCUAACUCCGUUCCAGCAGCCGCGGUAAUACGGAGGGUCCGGGCGUUAUCCGGAUUUAUUGGGUUUAAAGGGAGCGUAGGUGGAUUGUUAAGUCAGUUGUGAAAGUUUGCGGCGCAACCGUAAAAGUGCAGUGCAAACUGGCAGUCUUGAGUACAGUAGAGGUGGGCGGAAGUCGUGGUGUAGCGGUGAAAUGCUUAGAUAUCACGAAGAACUCCGAUUGCGAAGGCAGCUCACUGGACUGCAACUGACACUGAGGCUCGAAAGUGUGGGUAUCAAACAGGAUUAGAUACCCUAGUAGUC